AAAACUUUCAACAACGGAUCUCUUGGUUCUGGCAUCGAUGAAGAACGCAGCGAAAUGCGAUAAGUAGUGUGAAUUGCAGAAUUCAGUGAAUCAUCGAAUCUUUGAACGCACAUUGCGCCCUGUGGUAUUCCGCAGGGCAUGCCUGUUCGAGCGUCAUUUACCAUCC
RNAcentral lists this ribosomal RNA (166 nucleotides) under Amniculicola longissima. RNAcentral describes it as "5.8S ribosomal RNA". It matches the Rfam family "5.8S ribosomal RNA". From Rfam's summary of the family: 5.8S ribosomal RNA (5.8S rRNA) is a component of the large subunit of the eukaryotic ribosome. It is transcribed by RNA polymerase I as part of the 45S precursor that also contains 18S and 28S rRNA. The record is from RNAcentral. Lineage: Eukaryota; Fungi; Ascomycota; Dothideomycetes; Pleosporales; Amniculicolaceae.